RNAcentral lists this ribosomal RNA (465 nucleotides) under Vreelandella stevensii. RNAcentral describes it as "partial 16S ribosomal RNA". It matches the Rfam family "Bacterial small subunit ribosomal RNA", at positions 338 to 795 of the family's 1533-position model. The record is from RNAcentral. Lineage: Bacteria; Pseudomonadati; Pseudomonadota; Gammaproteobacteria; Oceanospirillales; Halomonadaceae.
CCUACGUGAGGCAGCAGUGGGGAAUAUUGGACAAUGGGGGGAACCCUGAUCCAGCCAUGCCGCGUGUGUGAAGAAGGCCCUCGGGUUGUAAAGCACUUUCAGUGAGGAAGAACGCCUGGUGGUUAAUACCCAUCAGGAAAGACAUCACUCACAGAAGAAGCACCGGCUAACUCCGUGCCAGCAGCCGCGGUAAUACGGAGGGUGCGAGCGUUAAUCGGAAUUACUGGGCGUAAAGCGCGCGUAGGUGGCUUGAUAAGCCGGUUGUGAAAGCCCCGGGCUCAACCUGGGAACGGCAUCCGGAACUGUCAAGCUAGAGUGCAGGAGAGGAAGGUAGAAUUCCCGGUGUAGCGGUGAAAUGCGUAGAGAUCGGGAGGAAUACCAGUGGCGAAGGCGGCCUUCUGGACUGACACUGACACUGAGGUGCGAAAGCGUGGGUAGCAAACAGGAUUAGAUACCCUAGUAGUC